This 482-nucleotide ribosomal RNA is filed under the name uncultured bacterium. RNAcentral describes it as "partial 16S ribosomal RNA". It matches the Rfam family "Bacterial small subunit ribosomal RNA", at positions 28 to 523 of the family's 1533-position model. The record is from RNAcentral.
GACGAACGCUGGCGGCGUGCUUAAUACAUGCAAGUCGAACGAUGAAGCCCAGCUUGCUGGGUGGAUUAGUGGCGAACGGGUGAGUAACACGUGGGCAACCUGCCCCAAACUCUGGGAUAACUCCUCGAAAGAGGUGCUAAUACCGGAUACGAACUAGACAGACAUCUGUACUAGUUGGAAAGUUUUUCGGUUUGGGAUGGGCCCGCGGCCUAUCAGCUUGUUGGUGAGGUAACGGCUCACCAAGGCUACGACGGGUAACCGGCCUGAGAGGGCGACAGGUCACACUGGGACUGAGACACGGCCCAGACUCCUACGGGAGGCAGCAGUGGGGAAUAUUGCGCAAUGGGCGAAAGCCUGACGCAGCGACGCCGCGUGAGGGAUGAAGGUCUUCGGAUCGUAAACCUCUUUCAGUAGGGACGAAGCGAAAGUGACGGUACCUAAAGAAGAAGCACCGGCUAACUACGUGCCAGCAGCCGCGGUAA